Long non-coding RNA from Oncorhynchus keta (chum salmon), 1533 nucleotides. RefSeq lists it as uncharacterized. The record is from RefSeq and is a predicted model, not a curated record. The transcript has 3 exons. Lineage: Eukaryota; Metazoa; Chordata; Actinopteri; Salmoniformes; Salmonidae.
UGGUAGUAAAGCAUUUGUUUUCUCUAGUUAAUGAACCAAUAUCUGAUAGGUCAGUAAAGAUCACAUGAUCGUCAUGCGUGGACAGAACCAAUAUCUGAUAGGUCAGUAAAGAUCACAUGAUCGUCAUGCGUGGACAGAACCAAUAUCUGAUAGGUCAGUAAAGAUCACAUGAUCGUCAUGCGUGGACAGAACAAUGGAAUAGCUUAGACAAUACAUGUAUUUUAUUGAUGUAGUAUAUUCUACAUUUCUUCCCAUUUUAUUUUCCUGCUCCACCCCCCCCAUCGUCUCCCAGCUGUCUAUAUGUAUGUAAUCCUGCUACUUUUCAUCAGUCAUUAUAAACUGGGUGGUUCGAGCCCUGAAUGCUGAUUGGCUGACAGCCGUGGUAUAUCAGAUGACGAAUCAAAGGAAUUACUAGUUUGUUGUAUGUAAUCCUGCUACUUUUCAUCAGUCAUUAUAAACUGGGUGGUUUGAGCCCUGAAUGCUGAUUGGCUGACAGCCGUGGUAUAUCAGAUGACGAAUCAAAGGAAUUACUAGUUUGUUGUAUGUAAUCCUGCUACUUUUCAUCAGUCAUUAUAAACUGGGUGGUUUGAGCCCUGAAUGCUGAUUGGCUGACAGCCGUGGUAUAUCAGAUGACGAAUCAAAGGAAUUACUAGUUUGUUGUAUGUAAUCCUGCUACUUUUCAUCAGUCAUUAUAAACUGGGUGGUUUGAGCCCUGAAUGCUGAUUGGCUGACAGCCGUGGUAUAUCAGAUGACGAAUCAAAGGAACUACUAGUUUGUUGUAUGUAAUCCUGCUACUUUUCAUCAGUCAUUAUAAACUGGGUGGUUCGAGCCCUGAAUGCUGUUUGGCUGACAGCCGUGGUAUAUCAGAUGACGAAUCAAAGGAAUUACUAGUUUGUUGUAUGUAAUCCUGCUACUUUUCAUCAGUCAUUAUAAACUGGGUGGUUUGAGCCCUGAAUGCUGAUUGGCUGACAGCCGUGGUAUAUCGGAUGACGAAUCAAAGGAAUUACUAGUUUGUUGUAUGUAAUCCUGCUACUUUUCAUCAGUCAUUAUAAACUGGGUGGUUUGAGCCCUGAAUGCUGAUUGGCUGACAGCCGUGGUAUAUCAGAUGAUAAAUCAAAGGAAUUACUAGUUUGUUGUAUGUAAUCCUGCUACUUUUCAUCAGUCGUUCUGUUAUACACUCCACUUCCUUCACUACCUAGCCUGCAUAAUGCUUUCAAAAAUGUUUUGUUAACAGCAUUCAUUGUCCUCUUCGUCACCGUGCUGUAGCCUAAUUAAUACGGGUAUCUUUACCGGUGAGAGUGGGGUCUAUUUGUGGUGGAGAAUGUGCUGGGUGCCCGUACAGGAGACUUAUUAUUGCUUAUUGAAGACUCAUCAAGCCUACUAGGUCUUGUUUUCUGUUUGUCAAGAACGUGUUUUUUCCGGACUCUUCUGUCUGUCUGUGUCGUCCUGCCGUCUGAUGUUACCGUGGCGACGGGAGAGUGGUCGAUAAACCCUGACGGUGAGGGUGAUCCGUCAUAAUACAAGUAGAUUGAU